UACGGAGGGUGCAAGCGUUAUCCGGAUUCACUGGGUUUAAAGGGUGCGUAGGCGGGCAGGUAAGUCAGUGGUGAAAUCUCCAAGCUUAACUUGGAACCUGCCGUUGAUACUAUCUGUCUUGAAUAUUGUGGAGGUGAGCGGAAUAUGUCAUGUAGCGGUGAAAUGCUUAGAUAUGACAUAGAACACCAAUUGCGAAGGCAGCUCACUACACAAUCAUUGACUCUGAGGCACGAAAGCGUGGGGAUCAAACAGG
Molecule: ribosomal RNA, 253 nt
Filed under: uncultured bacterium
Lineage: Bacteria
Description: partial 16S ribosomal RNA
Rfam family: Bacterial small subunit ribosomal RNA
Source: RNAcentral